Molecule: long non-coding RNA, 1190 nt
Filed under: Sus scrofa (pig)
Lineage: Eukaryota; Metazoa; Chordata; Mammalia; Artiodactyla; Suidae
Description: lncRNA (ENSSSCG00005012718.1)
Source: RNAcentral
CAAGCCUUUUCUCUGUCAGCUGUGAAUCCAGGAGGGAGGUUGAGAAGGAUGCAGUCUAUCACCAUGGCCAAAGGGAGGACGAGGGAGCCCUGGGACCAAGAGGAGCCUGGAUCCCGUUGUUGCAUGGUCCUGAGGAAGUCUGCUGAUGUUAAUGGCAAUUGCGUGGAAAAUUCGGCUGCCAGGAUGGGCAGGGUGGGCAGGGUGGGCAUGGUGGGCAGGGUGGGCAUGGUGGCCAGCCUGGGUACUGUGGGCAGGGUGGCCAGCAUGGGUAUGGUGGGCACACCACAGGUGGGCAAGGAGGUGGACAUUGCCCUGGAGGUGGACAUGGCUGAGGGCACACAGGAGGUGGCUGGCAGCGCUGCUUGCACUGAUCCUGCUGGUGAGACAUCUUUCCUGGGACUCACGGAACCUGAAGUACAGUGAGACAACAUUGGUCACCACAAAGACAGUCCUGUCCAUAGAGCAGUCAGCUCGACCAUCAACACUUGGCUUUUUGGGGUUUUUUUUAUGACGCAAUGGAUUCAUUCAUUUCUCGGUGUACAGUGAUCACCACAAUCUAAUGGGCCACCAACACUUUGGUCUCCAAGGACUCUCUUGGAUUCCUACUACAGCCUUUAGGAUUUUGUGGCCCAUCUUCACCUGUUCUUUUGAGCACCUCUCACCCUCAGGCCUCAGGCCUUUCUGCUUCAUCUCACAUUCGACCACUUUCUAAAGAUAAAAUCACCCUCAGGGGAGUUGUGUGAAUACAAAUAUUAUCUGGAGAGGAAAAACCCGCUUAUUAAAAGGGUCACCAGUCUCAAAACACAUCUCUGCUCAGAGGUCCCAGGAGGCCCUGCUUGCUGGGCUAACCGACCCGACUGUGGGGCUGAGCUUUUGAGGAGAAAUGCAAAGGCCCAAUCCCACCGCUCACUGGGAUGGAGCCGUGAGAGGGAGGCUGUGGGAACGAAUGGGGGAGGGGGUGCUCCAGCACAGCACCUCAUCUCUGUUUCUCUCCUUCAGGGUAAGGUGGUGCCUUGGACUCCAUCGCUCUCCUCCCAUUCCACAUCACCUCCCAAACACCAUCAGUAACGUACCCCCCUCCCAACCUCAUUGUCUUCCUUCCCCCAGAAAGAGUAUUGAGGGGUGAAAAUAAAGUCACUUCUACACUCAGGUGAAAUCCCACCACCCAAGGACCAAGAAAGACCUCUAAG